UUAAGUUCAGCGGGUAGUCCCACCCGAUUUGAGGUCAAAUUGUCAAGUAAGUUUUGUCCAGAAAGGACGGUUGGCAGCCGACCAAAGGCGAGCUGAGCGCGGGUUCCUCUGAGAGGGUCCUCUAAAACUCCGGUGAAGAUGCUUAUCACACCAGAUGACGCUUUCACAAGCCGGUCAUACUAACACAUUUGAGACGUGUC
Molecule: unclassified non-coding RNA, 200 nt
Filed under: Sebacinaceae sp.
Lineage: Eukaryota; Fungi; Basidiomycota; Agaricomycetes; Sebacinales; Sebacinaceae
Description: partial internal transcribed spacer 2
Source: RNAcentral